RNAcentral lists this ribosomal RNA (207 nucleotides) under uncultured bacterium. RNAcentral's name for it is "partial 16S ribosomal RNA". It matches the Rfam family "Bacterial small subunit ribosomal RNA", at positions 568 to 774 of the family's 1533-position model. The record is from RNAcentral.
CACGUAGGCGGACUCUUAAGUCAGGGGUGAAAUCCUGGAGCUCAACUCCAGAACUGCCCUUGAUACUGAGAGUCUCGAGUUCGGGAGAGGUGAGUGGAACUGCGAGUGUAGAGGUGAAAUUCGUAGAUAUUCGCAAGAACACCAGUGGCGAAGGCGGCUCACUGGCCCGAUACUGACGCUGAGGUGCGAAAGCGUGGGGAGCAAACA